This 20507-nucleotide long non-coding RNA is filed under the name Sorghum bicolor (sorghum). RNAcentral describes it as "long non-coding RNA (SBIC_LNC007687)". Lineage: Eukaryota; Viridiplantae; Streptophyta; Magnoliopsida; Poales; Poaceae. The record is from RNAcentral.
AUGGGAGGCCUCCUACGCCAGAAAAAUACGAGACAAAGGGACUGGGAAAAAAUCCUAAAUGAUUCUAUAUGGUCAGUGUCCCAAAUGCCUGAAGAGCUAAACUAUGCAGUAUACCUUAGCUACCAAGAUUUAAAUCCAAAUUUGAAGUCUUGCUUUCUGCACUAUGCCCUCCUCACCCAGAACACAGUGUUCUAUGAUGACAACAUUGUUGCCAUGUGGAUUAGUGAAGGAUUUGUUCAUGGAAACAGCACAUGUGAUUUAGAAGCACUAGGAAAAGACUACUAUGGUGAGUUAAUAGCUAGGAACCUUAUAGAGCCGGAUCAAUUGUACUUGGACCAGGCAGUCUGCAAUAUGCAUGAUGUUGUUCGCUCAUUUGCUCAAUAUGUAUCUAGAGAUGAAGCACUGGUAGCUCAGAAAAUUGAAGUUGGCCUAACCAAUAAACUUAAUUCGCAAAAUGUUACUCGGUUAUCACUGGAAUGCAAAGAAUCAGAAUCAAAUGAGCUAGAAUGGAGUUCUCUACAAGCAAAUAGAUCACUGCGAACAUUGAUUUUAGUUGGGAAGAUGAAGAUCAACCGAGGUGAUUCGUUGUUGUCUUUUCCAUGUUUGCGGACCCUACAUAUAGAAGAUGGAAAUUUUGAUGCUUUGUCUAAAUCUUUGGUCCAACUCAAACACUUGAGGUAUUUGUCCAUAAGACGCACUGACACAUCUAGGCUGCCAAAAAGAAUUGCCAUGAUGAAAUUCUUGCAGUGCAUUAAUAUUUCUUACUGUAAAAGUUUGGUGAAGCUUCCACGUGACAUUGGAGAGUUACGGCAGCUGAGGUAUUUAAGCCUUGUUGACUCAGGAAUAAAUAGUGUACCGAAGAGUUUCGGUGGUCUAACUAAUUUGAGGUUAUUGUUGGGGUUUCCAGCCCAUGUGGAGGGUGACUGGUGCAGUUUGGAAGAACUAGGACCCCUUAACAAGCUCAUGCGUCUUGAUAUAGAUGGUCUGGAGAAUGUAUCCUCUUCCGCAUUUGCUAUAAAGGCCAGGCUUCGUGAAAAGGUGCGCCUCAGCUAUCUGGUCUUAAAGGGCACCAGUACACGUCGAGGUGCUCACAGUCACAGGUUGGUAAAAGAGGAAGAGCAGCAACAAAUCCAGAAGGUGUUUGAUGAGCUCUGCCCUCCACCCUGCUUAGAAACUCUGUGUAUUGAAGAGUACUUUAGCCAACAACUUCCAAAGUGGAUGAUGCCUACAGAAAUUUCGUCCCUUGGAAGCUUGAGGAAUCUAUGGAUGGAAGACUUGCCUUAUUGCACGGAUCUACCUGAUGGCUUGUGGCAGCUCCCCAGCUUGGAGUUCCUACAAAUUAGAAGCGCCCCAGGCAUCAAGCGUGUUGGGCCAGAGUUCGUACUACCACACCAUCAUGAGCACCCAAGCCCUAUGGAAAACGUUGGUUCUGAUUUGGAAAUUGAGGUGGAUGAAUGUUCUGGCCUCGAGAGGAUCAGCAAUCUGCCAAAUUUGCAGAGCCUCGUGAUCUUUAGAUGCCCAGGGUUGAAGGUACUAGAGGGUUUGCCUGCACUUCAGAGACUCGGGCUGGAGGACUACGACAUGGAAACACUCCCGGGAUACGUGCGGAACGUAAACCCAAGGGAUUUGCAUCUAGACUGCGACAUCUCACUGCUAGCUUCCAUAGCUAAAGGGAAAUCUAGCCCCGAGUGGGACAAGUUCAGCCAUAUCAAGCAUGUGAAGGCAUAUGCAGAUGACGACGACAACAACAUUGAAAGGAAGUGGUACGUCAAGUACACGAGAGAUCCUUUCAGCUUUAAGACAAACAUCAGCCUCCCUGCUGACGCCUCAGGUAAAUUAACACACCUGCUGCUUUAUACGUUGCCAACUUAGUAUGUACAUUUCAUGCUAUUGGAAUAUCUCGUCACUUGACUGGAUGUGCCGUUUAAUUUCAGGGGAUGAAACGGAGGAAGUGUUGUUGGACGAAGUGGAGGAAACUUCAAGGAAUGAAAUCGUAGAAGAACAUGUCAAUGUGGAACAACUGAGGGAGUAAUCGAUCGAGUAUGCUACUACAACUUGUUACUAGUUGCUUGUUAAGCUGUGUCUAACACUGUCAAUUAUAUAACGCAUAUGGACGACCUUGCCUGCACAGGUGGAGUGUCCGUCUGUGACCUAUAUGGACAGAAGGAUCCUUGGAGUGGCCAUCACCUUGACUGAAGAAGUAUCAAUGCAGACUUUGUGUUGCGAUUUUGUUCGCUACUGUUAGACUACAUUUCAUUUUGAGGCGGUCAGAUAUUCGACAUUGCAAAUAAAAAGAGACUGGAAUGUCAUGUGAACUUGUUCCUUAAUUUUUCUUCAGUGAUUUGUGUGCGCAUUACUGUUCUAUUCUGAUGCAGUUUACCAGUUGUGAACUGAGAGGCCUGUAUGUAUGUAAGUUGACUAGUUACAGAACAAACUAAUGUUAUGGUACAGCUUCAUUAAGAAGCUUGCUGAUUCAUGGUGAUAUAUCUAUAAUCUAUAACUCUUAUAAAGCAAAACUUCGCUAGCUAUUUCUCAUGGCAUGUAAUGCGUCCACCUCAGUAAUCCACUAUCAUUUGUCACUAGUAAUUUCUCUUGACUUGUAAGGUGUCCAUCUUAGCAUUCCAUUAUCAUUUGCAAUUAAAGUUCACUAGCAGUAUAAUAUCCACGUCAGCGAGAUACACCAUUCACUAUAGAUACAAUCUCCACGAUUAUGCUAAUAAAUCUAUAUAUAUUAUAUCAUAUUCUUGUAUUAUCAACACCAUAUAUACAGCUUCCUCCAUACUCAUGGCAACCCGUGGGGAAUCUUUCUUGUUCUGUAAAUGCAACUUGCUAGUAACUGAAUGUAUAUAACACGGUUCACCGAAUUUUUGGAUUUUGUCAAGACUCCAAGUGGGUGUUUGAGGCUGUGAACUACUUCUAUAUAUCAAGGCACGUAACAUAACCGAUAAAUAAUCCAUUGCACAACGUGUUCACUCCUGAAUCAAUAAUGACUAGCAACUUAUUUAAUUAUUAGUAGAGGCUUGAAACUUCUCUAUGCAGUUGCCAAUAAUAUUUAUUUCUCUAUGGUCGAAUCUUAGCUUGCAUAAGGGACCAGCCGGAGAAAAUGCAGUUUUUUGACGGUUUUCAUCUGAUACCUAAAUAAAAUAGGACAUAUAAGAAUUUCUCAGAGUACUGCUAGUUUGCUACUACUCCCUCCGUCCAUAAAAAUAUAAUUCUCACAUUUCGAGAAGUCAAACAGUUUUAACUUUGACUGAAAUUAUAUAAAAAUAUACUAACACUAAUGAGAUAAAAUAAGUAUCAUUAUAUUAGUUACAGAGUAUACUUUUAUAAUAAAUUUAUUUCAAGACUUGCUAAUAUUAUUUACUAUAAACCUGCUCAAAGUUAGAAUCGUUGACUGACAAGUUUCUCAUAAUUGCAUUCUUUUUCGGACAGAGGUAGUGCAUGCUAGCCAUCGAGGAGCGCGGGAGCAGCCUCCCCAGCGGCGGCCAGCUCGGCUCUCGCCUAGGCGACGAAGGAAGGGGCCCGCGUGCCUAGCUCGGUGGCUAGGUCGGCGCUCGCCCAAGUGGUGACGAGAGUGGGCCCGCAUGCCCCAGCGAUGGGCGUUCCACUGGCAGGAGCUUCCCAAGCAGAGUGGGAGCCGGGGCUGGGGCUGGGCCAAAAGGCGUUCCUCCAUUGUGCGAUGGUCCACUCGUCACUGCUUCCCCUGGCCUCAGAUUCGAUGGAAUAGGUUUCCGGAUCUAGUGACGACCCGGUCAGGCCCCCGCGCACGCACGCCGGCUAGGUCAGGCUAGGGCUAAGUGGUCUGUGUCGCGCAUAGAAGACAGAUCUAGUGGAUCCAAGGCAGAGACAGUGAGGCCCCGUGCCCCUACGCACGCAAGCCGACUAGGCCAGACAGCAAUUGGGUGGCCGUGGCCACAGUCGGAAGGCGAUGGACCACACAGGCCUUCCAUCUUCUCUCAGUAGCAAUUCAGGGCUAGGGCAGCGGCGGCUGACGGCUGGGCAUGCUAGACUACGGUGGCAGCUGGGCAGACAACUUCUUCAUUGUCCUCAUCGCCACCGUCUCGGUCAACCUCCUCAGCGGUGGCAGCAACUCUAUGGGUAGCGGUGGCCUGAAGGAGGUGGAUCCCAUCAGCAACGGCUGGCCUAGAGGUAGCAGAUGUCUAGGAGUCCAGAUGGAAGAGGUUAUCCUUGGGCAGCGAUAGAGAACUCUGGCAGAGGUGACGCCCAUUCCAAUGACGGUGGCUGCCCUAUGGACGGCGGAGGCCUGAUCAGCGGUGGCGGCAACCCUUUGGGCACCGAUAGCCUGAAGGAGGCGGAUCCCAUCGACAGUGGCUACCCUAGAGGUAGCAGAUGUCUGGGAGUCCAGGCGGAAGAGGUUAUCCUUGGCGUCAGUGACAAAGAACUCUAGCAGAGGUGACGCCCAUUCCAAUGAUGGUGGCUGCCCUAUGGGCAGCGAAUGCCUUGGAGCCUAGCAAAGUAGAAGUGGAUCCUGUUUGCCUUGCAAUGGCGUAAUCUAGGGGCGGCGACAACUUCGACUUCCUCUCGCUUAAUCUAGCUAUUUUAGAAGAGGAUGCCAAGAAGCAGGGACGUGCCAAGAUCAUUGUUUUUUUGUUGUUGUUGUGUUGUUUUCUCCUCUUUGUUAAGGUGUGAAUCUAAGUGUUCUUGUAUCUGGUCGCUCUCUCCCAAGUGCGACAUGGGCGGCGGCGCCGUUGCCCCGUCCUCGGGUUCCUCCCCCGCACCCUUCCCGGUCUGGCCGCUGCCCGAGCUCGCCGUCGGGAAUCCGGUGGAGGGCAAGGACGGCAGCGGACGGGCGUCUUUCUCCCUCUCCAUGCCCCCGUCGUUCUCUCCCCCUCCCCUCUCUCCUUCAGUGCCGGCGACCGCCGGGCGGCGUGGGGGUCAAUCCGGCUCCUCCGCGGCCGGAUCCGGCAUCCCCAUGGCCAGAUCGGGCUCCCCCACAAUUGGUGCGGCUAGAUCGGCCAGCGGCGGACCAACCUAGGGUUGGUGCGGCAAAUCGCCCGGCGGUGCUGUGAGGUGACGGCCUACUCGACGGUGGCGGCCGAUCUGGCUCGCCCCCCGGUGGGCUCGGUGACGCGGACGGCGGCACCAUUCCUCGAUGCCCGGCGUUCCCGCACCGGUGAAGGGGUCUGGCGGCGGCGGGUGCAUCUGGGUAUCUCAAGCCUGGAUCCGCCGGCUGCUUACCCCGUAUUGCCCCCUUCUCGGUGCGGGUGGUGCUCCGGCGAUGCGGACUCGGGCGGCCGUUGCCUCGGGUCGGGGACAUUUCCCCGGCGGCGACUGGGGGGUCGAUUUGGACUCCCGGGCACCGGAUGGCGAUGGCGGUGUUGGCACCGGCCAUCUCGACAAGCCGGCCAACCCGCCCUCCCACGCGGUCGUGGCCUGGAUCAACUGCACCAAGCACUCGGCUUAAGACCACGCCGCUCCCAGGCGGCCCGCAAAUCGGCUCUGACAUCCACAUCAAAGGACAUCGUCGCCCCCUGCUUUUCUACUGCCUCGCUGCAUCUGGUGAAGACCCUGCCGUUCAUCCCCGUUAUCUCGUCAUUUGCAGGUUCGGCAUGGAUGUGAGGAUCUUGGAAUACAGGUGAAAACCCUGCCUGGCGGGUGCUGGACUGGCGGUGAUGACGCAUCAACGUCAUCUUCCUCCUUGGAGGCGUCACUGUAAUUCCCUCUUCCUUUCGUUGAUGAUGGCGUCUGCGGACGUCAUUCACCUUCUUGAAGGCAUCAACACAAGCACACCUGCUCCUAGCCAUGCCCUGCACUACGACAUUUGGGACUCAGCUGCGGCGCCAAGAGAAAGCCAAGGAUGCCCUCUCGUUAAUCAAAUAGAGGGUCGAAGCAUUUGCUGUAAUGUCCUGGUCUAUGUAUAAAACUAUGGCUUUUCUAUCUUUUGUUUUUUCUAUCUCCUUUUGUAACAAUUGGCUGUGUACAUCUCCGGAUGUAGAGGCCGAAUAUUGAAUAUCCUUUAUCGAAAAAAGUGUUCUUGUAUCUUUUUGGCUACAUAUAUCCUUCGUGGUUAUAAAGGCUGUAUUAUUAAUUAAAAUACACUAUCUCGAAAAACAUGCGAACCAUCCAAGGUUAUCAAUUAUGGGCCAUCACGUAGACAUGAUGUAAUCUUGUUUAUGGGCCGAGAGCGGAGCAUCUGCAAGAUCCAUACACCUCGGCGUGACAUACGUUGCUCAAAACAAAAAAAAAGCUAGGCAUGACAUAUAUACUAUGUUGAGAGUCCACUAAAAAAUAAAAUAAAAAAAAAACCUUGUUGAUGAUAGAGGCGUGGUAUAUGAUAAGAUCAAUCUUAACGAUGGUUUUAUGACCUAGUUUUAAACAAACAAGCAAAAUGCAUGCACUGGCCACAUUGGUGCGCUGGGUGCUGAUGGUGCGGUGGGCGGACGCGUUGGAAACCCACCGGUUAGAAAAAUGUGUAAAGAGAGUGACCAAGUUCGAGCCUUUCAUGGGAACAACUCGAGUGCCAUGAUUGGUUGCAGUUUUAUACAAACAGUAAAGUCAUCGCGGCAAAGCCAUCGAUGUAUAUAGAACAUAGAAGAGAUAUGCUUUCACACAUCGGUGAAUAAUGUAUACAGAAGGUAGCAACAUGUUUAUUAAUCAAAAAAAAGGUAGCAACAUCUAUAUGGUGAGGCGGUUAAAACUCGUCCAUGACAUAUAGGUACGUAGAUAUAUAGGCUUACGUCCACCUCGAACAAACAUGAAACAUAAUUCUGAGAACAGAUGUGAGGCAUCCCAAAAUAAAUAUAAAAGAUGCAUGCUUUCUUCCUCCCAGGCAACUGACUUUAUUUCCCUUCUCUUUGUGACGGCCUUGCGUACUUGCGUUUUUCAGGACAUCUGUUCAUUUAGUCCUACAAAAUACAGAAAAGCGAAGUAGUAUAAGAAGAGCACGACGAGCUCCUACAACAUGUUUUACUUACCAUCUUUCUCGGGAUAUCUUUACUUUGAGAACAAGGCCUUACUUUAAGUCCUACUAUGUAGUGUGCCCAUGCGUUGCUACGGGAUAGCAACAUUUUGUACUAAAACAUAUGGAUCGCAUGAUAAGAUAACAAUACUGUAAAAAUUAAAUACCAAUGUUAAAUUGACAGUUAAUUUAAAAAACAAAGUUUGUGAAAUUAACGGUCACAGAGAUCGCAGCAUCGCAGACUCACAAACUCUACUUUUUAGAUAUUUCUAUGAUACGGCUAAGAACUGCAUAAUGAUCGGAAGAAACCCGGCACGUACCAUUCGUCCAGGUCCAACUCCAACAUCCGGAUCCUCCAUACGAUGCUGAUGCUGCUGCUCCACCUUUCUCGACCCAACUAAUGAUUUUGAGCCACUUCACAGAGAUGCCCAUCGUGCCGCCAACAACCAGUCACCUCAACUGCAUUUUUCUCGUUUUUUUAGCACCCGCAUAAAACUGCAGCACAAUGUCACAAGACGGGAGAGAGAGGGGGGGGGGGGGGAGGGUGGGUUUGCUCACAUUACUUAUCCAGUCCAAAUUUAGCCAAGAACUCUACCUGCAGAUCACGGGGAUGCUAGGGGCCACCUGAAACUAACAGCUUCCUUCGUUGUAUAGAAUGUUUGUUGGAUGGAGUUUCAUCAAACAGACUCCAACUUAAUAAAAGAGGAUCCACUUUUAGUCUCUACAUAAGCAUAUAGACAAGUUGUAUAGGUAACAGAGAAAAGUCUGCUAUUUAUUUGAUAGAUCAAGCAAAGAUAUCUAAUCACGAAUGAACCAUGGGAUUGCGUAAUCAUCUAAAUAUAUGCAAGCAUUUAGUUGCAUGUUCCAGACUGCACUGCUAGAUAGCUCUAUUUAGUCUACAUGUCAUUCUUAGUUCUAUUUACCUCCAAAUUGGUAUCUGCUAGGAUGCACAUCAUAGCUCCAGAUUGGCUAUCUAUGAGACCUCAAGAGGAAAGGAAUAAUUCUAUGUGUAAGCCAUCUCAUCAACUCAGAAAUUAAGAUAGUGCUAUUAAUAGCUGAGAAAGUAAAAGCCAACAAAUUUGGCACUAUAUUUUGUCUCCAGAAAUUCCUUGUACCAUGACCCCAUUAUUCUUGGUAUUGGUGGUGAGAGCAAGAGUGAUCACCUCAUAGAUAUGUUUAUAGAAACCUGAACAAUAAAACACAACACAGAGGUUCAGUCACAGGUUCGCGGUCCUAUUUCACCUGCUACAUGGUACUGCCUCAUAGUACAAGCAUUUAGGCAAAUUUUGGAAUCAAUUAGGAUGAUAUCUGGUCAUGGUUAGGAAAGUUUUGCAGGCAAGCAUGCGUACGGAGGUAUUGGUGAUUUAAGAAUACUUGUUAGAUUUCACUACUUGAGUUGAUAGUUUCUCAUAAUUGUGUUUCCAUGACAAACUCAGAGCAGAUAGCAAAGAUAAUGACUCAACAAAGCAAGCUAACAAGCUAACACAUCUAGUACUUGUACAUUUAGAUAUCUCAAUUUCAUUUUCUGAACAUCCAGAAAUAUAAUUUUAAGUUCAUUUUCUGAACAACAAGAGUUACUGUAGCUUUUAAAUUGGUCAACAAAUUAAAUUUUCAAGUCAUAAGCCAAGCUCAAGAACAAUAUAGUGAAGUUGUUGGCAUCAAAGUUCUGCCGAGGUUUGCAAAUUCAGCAAAAGCAAGAUUAGCAAAUCAAUAUAUGUUGAAGUAAUAGUCUGCAAAUUUACAGCCAUUCGAUUUCAAUACUUUCAUAUAAUUCAACUUGCAAAUUUGAUAACACAAACCACUACCUAUCAGUACUAUGGUUGGUUAACACACAAGGGUAGAGCUUAGCGGAAACAAUGGAAAAAAAAGUUUGAACAGAGCAGUAAAUUAAAGCAGGCGGCGCAAGGUCUCACAUCAGUUCCUAGAUAUGACAUCUGCAUUUUGGACAAUAAAUCGGGUCCCCAAUAUAUCUAUCUAAACUCAUAUCGAUCCAAACAUAAGCUCAAAGUCUGGUAUAAAAGUGGAACAAUCUUAAAAUGUGUGAACGGAUUGGGAUGAGAUAGGUAUGGUGGCAGCUGUCGGUAAACAACCUGGUAUGUGCAACUGGCGAUGACAACAGCGAAGCUAUCGGGGGAAGUCGAUGUUGGGUCACCGCGCCACGAGGCCGGUGCCUCAUCCUGCGCCAUCGCCGCAGCCCGCGUUGGUGCCGCAUCCUGUGCGACCGCUUGCUCUGGUGCCGCAUCGAACACCCCUGCCACCGUGCAUAUAGGACUUCCAAGACCCUAAUUUGGACAUCAAAACUUUUUCCCAAAAAUUUGGAGCCCUGAAACCCGAUCCGAGACAUAAAUCAGCAGAUAAAUACAUGCUCCGACCUCCGGCAUGCACACGCCGCUGGACAUGGCGGCGCCUAUGCUAGUGGGACGUCGCGUCGCCUGUGCCACCGGGAUGUUGCGUCGCCUAAAGCCACCAGGAUGACACGCCACCUCCGCUGCUGAGACGCUAGGCGCGGCGACCGGAGGGUCGCAGCGGGUCGCAGUCGCCACCGGCGUUCGCGGCACGGGCAGCAGGCACCGGCGCAGCCGCUCGAGCAGCGGGCGCGCGGCGACCGGCGUGCGUGGUGCGCGGGCAGCGCGGCGCGGGCCGACGAGCGGGCACGCGGGAGUUCGCGCGGGCAACACGGCCACCAGAGUCCGCGCGGGCGCGCGCAGCGCGGUCGCUCGGCAACCGGAGAUCGAGAGGAGGGCCACCAAAGUCCGCGUGGACGCGGCACGGUCGCUCGGCCACCGGAGAUCGAAAGGAGCGGGCACCGGCGCGGCCGCUCGCUCGGCUACCGGAGAUAGAGAGGAGCGGGCACCAGCGCGACCGCGCGAGCAGCGGGCGCGCGGCGGGGGCGCGGCCACCGGCGUGCGCGGUGCACGGGCAGCUGCGUGGAUCGAGAGGAGGGAGAUAAAUGCGAGCAGGAGGAAGGAAUGGCGAGCGGGACGGGAAGAAGAGAAGGAAUAUAUGUUUCCUAUAAUAUGAGCCGUGGGUCGCGUUCGCAGGUGGCGAGGAGGCAGACGGACGAAACUAUUGCUGCACCAAAAAAAUGUCCAUCUUUUACUCUUUUUAGUUGUAGGAGAUACCGCAUAGAGAAAAGCAUGACCAGCUUGUAUAUCUUCCUUGCUUCUAGCUCCAACAUGCUUUGUCGUACGUUUCCAAUUCUCAAUGGCCAAAAGCAAAAGCCCUCAGAUCAGGAUGGAUCCCUGCAAAGCCCCUAGAUCAACAUGAAGGUGAAUGUAGGUAUAAUGUACCCAAAUUAUUGGCAAAUGCCCUUAAACAGGGAAUGACAACAUAUUUUUAUGCAUUUAUCUUGUGGGGGUGCCCUGUUUCCCAUCUCCAAGAUUUGUACAACGUGACCUUGAUUACUCCACCUAGCGGUGAUAGAAAAGCCAAUUCGACAUUCACUCGUUCGUCCAUUCUAUAUAGGAUCUCUUAACAAUCAGUUUCAUCAACCCUGAAAAACCGCUGGCAUAAAUUACAUUUGCACUAUCAGUUUACUUAAGACAACCACAGAUGGAAAUAGUGAAUUUAAACUGGUGAUUUCCAUUAAACAACCACCAAUGUAAAAUACACUAUUUACGCCAACGGUUUUCUUAACAAACUGCCGGUGUGAACCCAUUUGCACUAGCGGUUCUUGAUCCAGGCCCACAUAUUUUACACUAGUGGCGCUUGCUUCUUAUGAACCGCCAGCGAAAAAAUCGCUGUCAUCAAGAAAUUUAGAUUAUGUUCUAGUGCUUACCUCAAACUCAAAUGAAAACAUGAAAAAAAAUUAAGAACAAAUGGACGAAAAAUAAAAAGCUUUACCUUGUCAAUCAAAGGAAUACGUGCUCCAUGCAUGUUCGCAUGUGACGCAUCACGCAUCCGAAAGGUAAAAGAUGCACGCCUUCGAAUUCCUCCCUGCUGGCAACUGGCUUUAAUUACCUUCUUUAAUUAAUCCGUGCAACGGCUCUGAUCAACCUCAGGGCAUCUUUAGUUAGAUCAAACGUUCAGGUAGCUGGGUGCGGCUGCGCCACAGCAUUUAUAUAUAUUCCUUGCUUGUCGCUGCAACAUAUGCUUUGUCAUUUCGCAUUCCAGUGGCCAAAAGCAAAAACCCUCCAGAUGAGAUCAGGAUGGAUCCCUUCGCAGCCUAAAGCAAGCAACAUGCUUCCAACGGCGUGGUCUAAAGCAAAAGCAGUGAGGGUACAUUCCUUCCUGGGCGCAGCAAGCACGCCCUGCCCCCUGUGACCUUAUUUGGAUGGACAUAUAUUCAUCUUAAUCCAUAUAUAUUGAAUUAGAUCAGAUCCGAGUGAAAUUAAACUAAGUUCUAUUCCAAUCCACUCAAACAAAUGUGGAUUGAAGUGGAUAUAUACGCAUACAUCCAAACAAGGCCUGACCCGUCUGAAAAUAUAUCCAAGCUUCCCGAUAGAUACAAUACAUGCAGCCUCUAUGUCUAUAAAGCAGGCCUCCUAUAGCUGCUUCUUCACGUCUGAUACCCCCACCAUAUCGCUUUCAUUCAUUCAUGUCACACACAUCACUGCUGCGCUGAUCCAUCCGUCGAUCUGACAUCAGAGCCAACUGCCAAGCUUGCAAACUCGUCGAUCAUCUCGCUCUGUGUGACUGUAAGCACUCAACAUUAGUUUAGCAUGUACUUCUCCUCGAUCUGUUUCUUUUCCUUUUAUUUCAAAUAAUGAAAUAGAAUUGCCCUCCAUAGAGGUCGCAUUGAACCAACCACUGAUGAUAAUAAGGUAUUUUUGUUUUAUUUGCAGAGUUGCAUUGAUUGCUUCCAUUCGUUGUGAUUCUAACCCAACAUCAAUUUUCUCAUAUUUGUUCAACGAACCACGAACAUACCAAUCAUCGUGGUUUCCAGUAAUACAAAAAUUGUAUGUUGCCCCCUUCCUCUAUCGCCGUCUGGUUUGCUUGAUUCAUCUGCUUCAUCUGUUGAUCGAACCAUCCGCUCUGUUGAUCUGUUCUCAGGGCACGUGGGUCCGUUCGGUGCCAGGUGCCAGCGGGUGAACUCCUCGAUCAUCUUGUUCUGUAAAUGUAAGCACUCCAUAUUCAGCACUGCUCGAUCUGUUAUUCGUUUCAAAUAAAUAAUACUAGUUAUUCGUAAUUUCAGAGUUGAUUGCAACCAUCCGUUGUCAUUCAAACUCAAUCUUUCCAUAUUUGUUUGGAUAAGAACGAUAUCUGUCAUCAUGGUUUCCAGUUAAACAAAAAAUUGUAUGUUGUCCCCAUGUCUGUUCUGUUCUGGUGUGGCUGAUUCUCAUGUGCUUCAUUUGUUGAUAUUAUAAAAGAUUUUUAUCCACAAGACCAUAGGACAGUCAGAAAGAGCAGAUUUGUGCACCUGUAUUGUACUCAUUGAAAUAGUCAUAGACACGUUGUGAAAAAACAUUGUUUGCUUGGGUGUGCUGGAGACACAAAAUAUAGAAUCAUGGUGUCCAGUGGACAAAAUCGAUGAAUGAAGUGUGCUACGCACAAAUCUGCCUUGUGUUGCAGAUAAAACUAAAAUCCCUAGCUAUGUACACUAAAAAGAUUUACAGUGACCUAGGUGGGCACGAAUUUCAACCGCCUCAGUUAAUGCCUGGCAUUAACCAAGCCGGUCAUUUUUAUUAACCGAGGCAGUUACAAAAAUCACCUCGCAAAAUUUAUUAACCGAGGUAGAUAUACUAAUGUAACCAUAUCGAUAAAUCAUUAACCAAGGUGGACAUUUUAACUCCAACCGCCUCGGUAAAUCAGGACUAGCCCACCAGCCCAAGAGGCCCAGUUCUGAAGUCACAUAGAUAUACAAGAGACUAGGGUUUCAGCCUCAGCCGCACUCCUCUCCCCAAGCGGAACUUCUCUCCCUCCCACCUCGCACAGUCGCACUGCUCUAUCACCUCACACAUACAAAACAACUCCUAAAGCGGCUAGACAUGCUGGUUAUUGACAUAGUUAUGAUUAGAAAUAAAUAUAUAUUGUCAUAUUAAUGUAAAUAUUAAUUUAUAUUUUGAACUCCAUGAUCAUCAUAAAAUAAAUUAGUUUUAAAAUUCUAUAAAAACAAUAAAACAAACUAAACAAAAAUAUAUAAUAUUAUUGUCAUUGUUUGUUACAUGUUAACAGUUUUUUCCCCUGUUGUAACACAUGGGCAUAUUUGCUAGUAAUUGAUAAUGAGAACUUUUACUAGCAAAUAAACACCAAUAUUAGUUCAUCAAGAUUCAAAUAACUUCGAGCUAGAAUGAUAAGAUAGAGCAUGAUUUAGGAAAAAAAUAAAGUAUUUUUGUAACUUUUUGUGCUAAAACUAAUUUUCUACGAAUUUUAUAAGAUUUAUAAUUCCAUUUUUGGAAAAGUCACUUUUUAUUGUAGGAUUUAUAAAUAAUUCCAUUUUAUAAGUUUCUUUUUAUAAGAUUUAUAAUUUUGUUCCAAUAUUGUAGGAUUUAUAAUUCCAUUUUUUCAUUCAAAAUAUCAGGAUACAUUUUUGGAAAAGUUACUUUUUAUGAAUUUUGGUCAAUUUUAGAAAAUAAAUUUUAUCCUGAUACUUUGAUUUUAAUGAUAAGAUAUCCUGAUUUGUAAAUUUUAAUUAUGAAUCAUAAUUAAAGCUGUCCAGGGUGAGUUCAAAUGGUUUUGAAAGUUGAGCGGCUGAGAGGGGACCACAAAAAUUGAGGAAGUUAAAUGACUUUUUACUUAGAAAAGCCGACCUUUCUUGAACCUCCAAAGACAGGACACACACCUUCCGAUCAUGAAAUGCAUAAAAGAAGCCUACAGGAAAAAAAAAACUGCCCUUGGAGCCCGGCCGCAUGCAGGUAGACGCAGCUAGUACAUUUGGGGUAGUUCAGGCACUUCCUCCAUCCUAAAUUAUAAGUCAUUUUAAAAAUUUUAGAGAUUUAAAUCAUCCUAAGUUUAAUAAAAUUUAGAUGAUAAAAUAAUAAUAUUUAUGAUACCAACUAAGUAUCAUUAGGUUUUUCGUUAAUUAUAUUUUCAUAGUAUAUCCAUUUGAUCUCAUAAAUCUUUAUAAUUUUUUCUAUAAUUUUGAUGAAACUUGAGAUGUUUUGACUCUCCAAAGUUCUUGCAAUGCCUUAUAAUUUAGGAUGGAGGGAGUAGUUUACCAAUAAAUAGCUAGAUGGAGCUUAGAAAUAAUAAUAAAAAAUAUUAUAAUAAGAGUUAUGUAAGCCAUGAGAAAGUUAUUUUUAGGAGAUCGUGGUAGACUAGCUAUUUAACUGUCAUUAGUUAUUUCUUCUGUCUCCUUGAUAGGUAAUAGAAUUCUUCGUGGACUAGUUAUGUGACGCCCUUAUACUUGAAAACCGUAUCCUCAUUGCUUCAAAAAUAACUUGCAAUAGUUGUAUUGAAAACCGAUAUCCAUCUAGUUAUGUAAGCUAUGAGAAAGUUAUUUUUGAAGCAACCCAUAUCCUACGGUUUCUUGCAAUAGUUGUAUUGAAAACUCCAUAAUUGUUUCAUAUAAAGUUAGAUCAAGAUGUUUUAUAAAAAAAAUAUUGAGCGUGAUGCGAUCUAACUUUAUAGUCCACAAAUUUUGUAUUUGAUGAAGCUGUUCAGAGUAAAAGAAUUAGUCUGUCUGCCACUAGUCCACUACCAGCUCAGUUAACUAGGCGGCCAUGCGCAACAAUAAGGUCGCCUUGAGUUUCCCACACACCUCAUGUCUCCUAGCUCCCUUCUAUGUUUAAGCUGAUUCAUCAAGCUCAUCCGCCCCAAUCCAUCAAGCAGACAGUAGCCACGCCAAGCUUUCCGACCAUCUCAAACCUUACUUCCAGUUCCAUCCAGCCAUCGCUCAACAGGACCACAAGAUACCAAUUCGUCCUCGUUGAUAUGUACUAUUAUACAUAUAUCAAUCGCAAAUCUAACAAUUCGUCCUCUUGCUUUACUCCCAACAAGACCACAAGAGACCAAGGAACUGAAGGACACAGAGCACUCUGUGUUCCCGCUAAAAAUCAAGCUUUAUAAGGUGCAUACAUACUCCUCUUUCUUUCCUUCUUUGUUUCUCUGUAUUUUUGUUUCUUCCACGUACGGGCUGAGAUUGGUGUAGCUGUGCUCUCAAUUUUUAGGUGCCCCACUAUAUAAUAUGUAUAGUAACAUGCAUCGUCCAUGUAUCAGACUUCAUGAUAAUAUGAUAUUGACGUCUGAUACCCAUUAAUUUGUCAACUCCGUGCUUUUAGCUUCUGUUACUAUGUGCCAGAUCUGGAAUCCAAAAGUGGAUAGCCAACCAGAUCUGGUGUCAACCAACUGCUGCAGAGCUUCCUUUAAUUUGAAUAGUGCCAAGAUUAAUUACAGGGGGGCUCGAUUGACGAUUUUACCAUCAAGACUAAUUUUCAUUUAAACAAAUCACAUGACAUUUUUAUCUAUAUUGAUUUUGUAGAUACAGAACCUGCAAUGGCUGUGGUAUUGGAUGCUUUGGCAUCCUAUCUGCAAGAUAUGCUGGUGGAGAUGGUUGAAGAAGAGGUGCAUCUGCUCUUGGGUGUUCCCGAUGAGAUAGAAAAGAUGGGCAUCAAGCUCGGGGACCUCAAGAGGUUCCUUGCUGAUGCUGACAAGAGGAACAUUAGAGACGAGACUGUGCAGUCAUGGGUCAGAGAGCUUAGAAAUGCCAUGUAUGAUGCCACCAAUAUCCUUGAUUUGUGCCAGCUCAAUGCCAUGGAACGGGGUCCGACCAAGGAUAUGGGUUGCUUCAAUCCCUUGCUCUUUUGUAUAAGGAACCCUCUCUAUGCUCAUGACAUUGGUAAUCGCAUCAAAAGCCUUAAUAAGAGGCUAGAUGACAUUGAGAAGCGUAGCAAAGCCUUCAACUUCAACCUUGCAUCUUAUGAGGACAACACGAGAAUGGUAGAAUCCUCCCUUCGCGCUAGGCGGGAGACGACGGGGGAGGAUGAGUUUGGUGUGGUUGGUGUGAAGAUUGAGGAGGACACUAGAAGUCUUGUGGAUUUGCUCAUACAGAAGGAGAAAAAUGUACAUGAACACAAAAAUGUUAUGGUUUAUGCUAUUGUGGGAGUUGGGGGGAUUGGCAAAACCACCCUUGCCAAGAAGAUCUUUAAUCAUGACUUCAUCAAACAAGAGUAUGAAAAGAGAAUAUGGUUGAGUGUCAAUAAAGAAUUUAAUGACAUUGAUCUAUUAGAGAGAGCUAUCACUGAAGCACAAGGAGACCUUCAAGCAGCGAGAAACACAAAGGCUGCACUAGAGCGAACCCUUAAGGAAGCCUUGAAGGGGUGCAAGACCUUGUUGGUGAUGGAUGAUGUUUGGGACCCCCAUGUAUGGGAGAAGGUGCUCGAGCCUCCUUUGAUAAACUCACUUGCUCGAGGAAGCCGUGUUCUUGUAACAACAAGACAUGACAUGGUUGCUCGAGGCAUGACGGCGGAGGUGCCGUACCACCAUGUCAAGAAAUUAGAGCAUGAAGAUGCCUGGUCUUUGCUGAAGAAGCAGGUCCGUACAAUGUCAAUUCAUGUGUCUUACGUGUUUUGUUUUCAAGAAUGCAAUUUUACUUCUAAUAUGCAUAUCCUCCUGUUGCAGUAACUUCUAUGUCAUUAAUAAAUUUCUUUGCUAAUGUCUUACACCUUAUCUCGAAGAAAUCUUGGAUACGUUUUACAUGCACAAUGGCUAAUAGUAAUUUGCUAAAAGAUACUUAUAGUUUGAUGACAAGAGUUAAGUGGGGUGUUUUAGUGUUGGAAACAACUCAUGCAAGGAAUCCUUUAGUUAGAGCUUGUUCCAAUUCCUACUAUUUCUUAGAAGUAGUAAAACUAAAGUAAUGGCUCUUCAGUUCAAGUAGCCAGGAAGAAAUGCCCAAUGCUAAUGAUUAUAGCAUUUGAACUAUUUUCACUGUUACUGCACAUAAUGUGCAAAACUACAAUAAGGUGAAAACUGACCCUAGUUGGUAUUUUGAACAUUGAUUUUAUGAAUCAAGGAUCUUCAAAGUACUAUUAAAAUGUAACUUAUGAAAGUGCAGCACGCUUCAAUGAAAAAACUUAAAAAAGAACCAGCAUUACUAACAAGAAAAACUUGACUACAUCAAGGAACGUGUAUAAUGUUCUUAUUUCCUUAAUUACAUUGCAAAAAUGACGUUAGUUAAUUAUGAUUUGGCAUAGGUGCUAACAUACUAAACAUUGUUACAUUUAUACAUAGAUUCACAGAUGCUUCACUAACGAUGAAUUUAAGCUUUCUAAAGUUUUACUAUAUAACUUUCAGCAUUUAAAUUUUGUCAUAAAUAUAUUUACUCUGUGAGUCCAUCAGGCUCAACUCCACCCCCUAUGCAAUUUUCUAUUUUAAAAGAAAAAGUCUACUUAACACCUUACUCUUGGAAAUUGUAUAAUCCAGAGUCUCACCUAUAAACCAGUCACUACACUUUAAAUUAUUAUAUAUUAAAACCCAUCUAAAUAACCCUCAAAACAGAUUUGAAUGCAGUUUUUAUCACUCGCAUAUUACAUAUGUGCUGAUAUAGCGGUGACUCAAUAAAAAUGGGAAAAAUGUCUACACAGCCCCCCUAAUAUAUCAACCCUUAAUAUUUUACGAAGUUAUUACUCCUACUUUUUCUAGUUUUUGUCGUCUCACCGUCAUCUAGCACCGAAGUAAUUUGGCACAUUAGUGAAGCUGCCAUUAAAGCAAUCUUAGGGAUUACUUAGAUGGUUUUUAAUACUUUAAGGGAUAGAAUAUCUGAUAUUACAUGUGAGAGAGUGAUGUAAACAACUAUAAAUAGUUAUGGGGGAUUAAAUAAAUAGACUUUUUCAAUACUAAAACCAACCAUUUAUAUCAUGCGAAUUUACCCAACAACCGACAGAGUAGUCAAUGAAGAGUGGUUUAACAAGAGGCGGCAUGAUGGACUUUAGCCUUACAGAUUCACCUUCCUAAAAAUUCUUGAAAGUCCUUAUAUUUUGGGAGGGGAUUGACUUUUUAAUUUUCAAAAUUUAGGAACAUAAAAAUAAAAUUUUGAAAAUUUUAUUCUCUCUAAUAGUACUUUACAAAGAUUUUCCAAUAAAUUAAAUCCAUAUCAGCUAACCAUAUAAAGAUUGUGCAAGAGAACAAAAAUAGAGAAAGUCUAGCUUAUGAUCGAGACCAAGUCCACACUUCAAAAUAUAUGCAGACAGGCCGGUUUGGUUGGGUGGCUAAACCACCAAUAAAGCUUCAGAAAGUCACCUUUAGGCUGUUUCUUUGCCUGUUCGGAGUCCAAAGCUACGUUCCAUGGAGCCACCAACCACCCUCUAGCCAGGCUCUAGAAAAACACGGAGGGUGGUCAUUUUUUGGGAUCCUGGAUUGGCUUAGCUCUGGUGGCUGUUCUCCUCAGCUCCCAUAUCUGCGACGCUCACCCCUCCGAAUUCACCGACAGUAAGCUCCGCAUCUUCUCCAACUCCAGCAGACCGCAUCUGCUCCUCCUCCAGUGAUCCCCAUCUCCUCCUCCGGUGCUCCUCCCAUAUGCAAACUCCCAAGGCAAGCCCCCCGCGGCAAAGGCCCGGCCCGUUGCACGGCCAGGUGGCGUGCCCGGUAGCAAGAGCAUAGUCCUCCAGGCAGUGUCGCAGAGGUGCUCGCGAUGCUUGGUAGUUCCUCCUCUGAGCGGUGAAGAAGUUCCCCCACUAGUGCAACAUCAAUUGUGCUUCUUUGGUAUCAUAAAUGUUAUUUUAUUACAUAAAUAUAGUCAAACUUUAUAUAUUUUGACUCAUCAAAAAAAUUAGAAUAACUUAUAAUUUAAGAUAAAAGGAGUAUAUACGAUAUGGACAUGGACUGAUGAACAGUUCUUGUGGCUACAUUUAUCCCUACACUCUAACAUUACAACAAUGAGUGUCGUAUAAGAGCAAUAGAGUAUGGAACUGAACCUGAGACAAACCCGCAACAGGAGCCUGACUCAAUCAACUUGACAACCCAAGGCCGCUCAACAAUUAAGGAGGCUCAGGCCUAAUGUAUUGACCCAACAUGGGGCUUUGUCUCGGCUUACAAUGGCCCCAACUUCUUACCAUCCUUCCUAGCUCUGUCAACACAUAUAUGGGCCUACAAUGUCUUCACCUUUUUCAUCCUUCCUAGCUCCAUCAAUACAUGGGCCUACAACAGCCCUAAUUUCUUACCGAGCUCCACAUGUAUAUGUGGGCGAGACGACUCAUAGGCCCUGUUUGGUUGAGUUGUGACUUUUAUAAAAGCUGUUGUGAGCUGUGACUUUAAAAAACAUGUGAGAAAAGAAGCUUUGGUAAAAGAAGAAGACCGUUUGGUUGCGCAACUACGGCUUUGGAAAAACUAUAGAAUAUGGACCCAACAAGUCAUCCCCAACUAACUCAAUCCCUCUCUCACUAAAGAGUGGCCCCACUCGCCAGCCUCUCCUCUUCCUUGUUCCACUUUGUGCAGUGGGGCCUGGAGCCCAUCGGCCUAGACCUCGCUGGCCUUGCUCCACCGAGGAUGCAGAAAACACGCUGCUGUAGGGAGGAGGGAGAGGACGUGCAGCAGGAGCUCCCGCGCCCAACACCGCGCGUGGGAAGAAGAGGCUUGUGCCGGCCGCCGGAGCUCUCAUGUGCCCAAGCAGAGGCCCAAACCCGGCACCACACGUCGGAGGAAGAGGCCGCACUGGCCGUUGGUGCCCCUGUGCGCGCCUACGCAGAGGCCUGCGUCGGCCACUGGAGCUCCCUUGUGCGUCGUCCACUAGAGCUCUCGCGCUUGCCUGAGUAGAGGCCCGAUUCUUCUUCCUCUUUGUAUGGAGAGCAGUCGAGCUCGACCUAGGGUUGCGGGCCUGCAUGGUGGAGUCGGCUGGCCGCGGACCUGAGGUGGGGGCGUGCGGGCGCCGUCAAAGUGGGGCGGUGGCGAGGUUUGGGCCAUGCAGGUGGCGUUGGAGCAUGAUGCUUGCAAGGUAUCUAGGUGGCGCGGGUAGGAGUAGCAGACGAGAGAUGUCGCCGACUAGAAAGAACGACGAAAUAUCGAACCGGUAUGUUCAUAAUCAGUGGCAAGUGGGUAAUAUUUUACCCCCAAAAGCAGUUGAAAGUAGGUGGUGAGGUGCUUUUGAAGAUGUACUAUAGUGAAAACUGCUUUUGGGCAAAGGCAGUUGUGGCUUUUGGAUUCAUUGGUUGGCUUUUGGCUUUUGUAAAAAUAGAAGUAGGUUCAAAAGCCUAACCAAACGGGGCCUAGCUAGUUACUCUGUAGCGCUAUAAACACGCGGUUUUUUGCCCUAGCAAGUACGACUACAGGGAAAACACAAAUCAUACAUUGCAUCCACGUAGAGUAUCAUUUAUAUUACUUCCAGUUUUUUUCCUGAUCUAUAAGUUCGUUUCAUUUAAUUGGCUUAGCUGCUUGUAGGUGAUCGGGAAUGGAAAUAAUGAUGAAAAAAAUGUUGACAGACUUAAGUAGAUUGGAAUGGAAAUUAUAGAAAAAUGUGAUGGUUUGCCACUUGCUGUUAAAGUAAUGGGAGGCCUCCUACGCCAGAAAAAUACGAGACAAAGGGACUGGGAAAAAAUCCUAAAUGAUUCUAUAUGGUCAGUGUCCCAAAUGCCUGAAGAACUAAACUAUGCAGUAUACCUUAGCUACCAAGAUUUAAAUCCAAAUUUGAAGUCUUGCUUUCUGCACUAUGCCCUCCUCGCCAAGAACACAGUGUUCUAUGCCAACAACAUUGUUGCCAUGUGGAUUAGUGAAGGAUUUG